This 77-nucleotide transfer RNA is filed under the name Alphaproteobacteria bacterium. RNAcentral's name for it is "tRNA-Arg". It matches the Rfam family "tRNA". From Rfam's summary of the family: Transfer RNA (tRNA) molecules are approximately 80 nucleotides in length. Their secondary structure includes four short double-helical elements and three loops (D, anti-codon, and T loops). Further hydrogen bonds mediate the characteristic L-shaped molecular structure. tRNAs have two regions of fundamental functional importance: the anti-codon, which is responsible for specific mRNA codon recognition, and the 3' end, to which the tRNAs corresponding amino acid is attached (by aminoacyl-tRNA synthetases). tRNAs cope with the degeneracy of the genetic code in two manners: having more than one tRNA (with a specific anti-codon) for a particular amino acid; and 'wobble' base-pairing, i.e. permitting non-standard base-pairing at the 3rd anti-codon position. RNAcentral also lists the same sequence under 1 other name. Lineage: Bacteria; Pseudomonadati; Pseudomonadota; Alphaproteobacteria. The record is from RNAcentral.
GUCUCGGUAGCUCAGCAGGAUAGAGCACCGGUUUCCUAAACCGGGGGUCAGGGGUUCGAAUCCCUUCCGGGACGCCA